This 105-nucleotide small nuclear RNA is filed under the name Canis lupus familiaris (dog). RNAcentral also lists the same sequence under 1 other name. The record is from RNAcentral. Lineage: Eukaryota; Metazoa; Chordata; Mammalia; Carnivora; Canidae.
GUGCCCACUUUGGCAGCACAUAUACUAAAAUUGGAACAACAGAGAAGAUUAGCAUGGCCCCUGUGCAAGGAUGACAUGCAAAUUCGUGAAGCGUUCCACAUUUUU